This 441-nucleotide ribosomal RNA is filed under the name uncultured bacterium. Its description in RNAcentral is "bacterial SSU rRNA". It matches the Rfam family "Bacterial small subunit ribosomal RNA", at positions 355 to 796 of the family's 1533-position model. The record is from RNAcentral.
UGGGGAAUCUUGCGCAAUGGUCGAAAGACUGACGCAGCGACGCCGCGUGUGGGAUGACGCCUUUCGGGGUGUAAACCACUGUUGCCCGGGACGAAUCCUGGAUUUCGAUCCAGUUGACGGUACCGGGUGAGGAAGCACCGGCUAACUCUGUGCCAGCAGCCGCGGUAAUACAGAGGGUGCGAGCGUUGUCCGGAAUCACUGGGCGUAAAGGGCGCGUAGGCGGCUUGGGAAGUCCGUGGUGAAAGCUCGUGGCUCAACUGCGAGUCGGCCAAGGAUACUCCUAAGCUCGAGUCGACUAGAGGCAGAUGGAAUUCCGGGUGUAGCGGUGGAAUGCGUAGAGAUCCGGAAGAACACCGGUGGCGAAGGCGGUCUGCUGGGGUCGAACUGACGCUGAGGCGCGACAGCGUGGGGAGCAAACAGGAUUAGAUACCCCCGUAGUCC